This 448-nucleotide ribosomal RNA is filed under the name Escherichia coli. RNAcentral's name for it is "bacterial SSU rRNA". It matches the Rfam family "Bacterial small subunit ribosomal RNA", at positions 73 to 514 of the family's 1533-position model. The record is from RNAcentral. Lineage: Bacteria; Pseudomonadati; Pseudomonadota; Gammaproteobacteria; Enterobacterales; Enterobacteriaceae.
AAGCAGCUUGCUGCUUUGCUGACGAGUGGCGGACGGGUGAGUAAUGUCUGGGAAACUGCCNGAUGGAGGGGGAUAACUACUGGAAACGGUAGCUAAUACCGCAUAACGUCGCAAGACCAAAGAGGGGGACCUUCGGGCCUCUUGCCAUCGGAUGUGCCCAGAUGGGAUUAGCUAGUAGGUGGGGUAAAGGCUCACCUAGGCGACGAUCCCUAGCUGGUCUGAGAGGAUGACCAGCCACACUGGAACUGAGACACGGUCCAGACUCCUACGGGAGGCAGCAGUGGGGAAUAUUGCACAAUGGGCGCAAGCCUGAUGCAGCCAUGCCGCGUGUAUGAAGAAGGCCUUCGGGUUGUAAAGUACUUUCAGCGGGGAGGAAGGGAGUAAAGUUAAUACCUUUGCUCAUUGACGUUACCCGCAGAAGAAGCACCGGCUAACUCCGUGCCAGCAG